RNAcentral lists this ribosomal RNA (432 nucleotides) under uncultured bacterium. Its description in RNAcentral is "partial 16S ribosomal RNA". It matches the Rfam family "Bacterial small subunit ribosomal RNA", at positions 29 to 507 of the family's 1533-position model. The record is from RNAcentral.
AACGAACGCUGGCGGCAGGCCUAACACAUGCAAGUCGAGCGCGCCCUUCGGGGUGAGCGGCGGACGGGUGAGUAACGCGUGGGAACGUGCCCUUGUCUACGGAAUAGCCUCGGGAAACGGAGAGUAAUACCGUAUACGCCCUUUGGGGGAACGAUUUAUCGGAAAAGGAUCGGCCCGCGUUGGAUUAGGUAGUUGGUGGGGUAAUGGCCUUCCAAGCCGACGAUCCAUAGCUGGUUUGAGUGGAUGGUCAGCCACCCUGGGACUGAGACACGGCCCAGACCCCCACGGUAGGCAGCAGGGGUGACGCUUCGACACUGCGGGCAACCCUGAGCUCGCCAUGCCGCGUGAGUGAUGAAGGCCUGAGGAUUGUAAAGCUCUUUCAGCUGGGAAGAUAAUGCCGGUACCAGCAGAAGAAGCCCCGCCUACCUCCUG